CCAGCGUUACAGAUGGACAGACUGCUUAAAUGUCCCGUUUGGGGAUGAAAAGACAGACUGGAUGGGUUGGUGUGUGAUCGUGGAGCAGAGAGAAAGGGGGAAUAAAAAUAUGCCUUAAAUUGGUCUGAUUCCUUGUCUCGGAUUACCCGACUCUGUGAUUAUUACGCAUCAUGGCUAAGCUGGUGGAGUGUGUGCCCAACUUCUCAGAGGGCCGGAACAAAAAGGUGAUUGAUGCAAUAGCAGAGGCCAUUUCCAGCACGGAGGGAUGCAGUCUGCUCGACGUGGACCCUGGAUCCUCCACCAACCGUACAGUCUACAGCUUCGUAGGCUCGCCACAGGCUGUGGUGGAGGGUGCAUUGAACGCUGCACGCACUGCCUUCCCACUCAUUGAUAUGACCAAACACUCAGGGGAGCAUCCCCGGAUGGGCGCCAUGGACGUGUGUCCCUUCAUCCCUGUCCAGAAUGUCACAAUGGAGGACUGUGUCAACUGUGCCAACCUUUUUGCCCAGCACUUAACAGAUGUGAUGCAUGUACCUGUGUAUCUUUAUGGAGAAGCAGCGAGGAAAGAGAACAGGAGAUCUCUUCCCUCUGUCCGGGCAGGAGAGUAUGAGGCCUUGUCUGAGAAAUUGAAGAGGACAGAGUGGGCUCCUGACUAUGGCCCUGCCACCUUCGUGGCCUCCUGGGGAGCUACAGUAGCAGGGGCUCGCAAAUUCCUGGUUGCCUACAACAUUAACCUCCUCAGCACCAAGGAACAAGCCCAUCGGAUCGCACUAGAUAUCCGGGAAAAAGGCAGAAGCAAAGACCAGCCGGGUCUGAUGAAGAAGGUGCAGGGAAUGGGCUGGUACCUGGAAGAGGCGAACAUAGCCCAGGUGUCCACCAACAUCCUGGACUUUGAGCUGACGCCCGUCCACACUGUUUACGAAGAGAUCUGCAGUGCGGCCAAGGACCUGAACCUGCCAGUGGUGGGCUCUGAGAUUGUAGGUCUCAUACCUCUGAGAGCCGUGCUGGACUGUGCUGACUUCUACAUCCAGAGAGACAGGCUCUUCAUUGUGGAGGAGGAGCACAAAGUCCGCCUGGUCAUCAGUAAACUUGGGCUCGAUUCACUUGGGCCUUUCCUCCCCAAAGAGAGAAUCAUAGAGUACAUGGUGGAGAGGACUGAGGAGGACAAGCGUUUGGUGUCUCUGUCUCUGCAGCAGUUUGUCCGCAGCGUGGGAGCCAGAACCGCUGCUCCGGGAGGAGGGUCAGUCUCUGCUGCCGUCGCUGCAAUGGGGGCUGCUCUGGGAGCCAUGGUGGGUCAGAUGACCUAUGGGAAGAGGCAGUUUGAUAGCCUGGACAGCAUCAUGAGGAGACUUAUCCCUCCCUUCCAUCAGGCCAUGAAUGAACUGCUGGUCAUGGUGGACGCAGACUCCAAGGCGUUCAGUCGCUAUAUGGCUGCAUUGAAGAUGCCAAGGAACACAUCAGAUGAAGUCAAAAGGAGGGAAGCUGCCAUGCAGGAGGGUCUGAAGCAGGCCGUGGCAGUCCCACUGUCUCUGGCUGAAAGAGUCAACCUGCUGUGGCCUUGUCUAAAAGAAAUGGUGAUCUACGGAAACGUGGCCUGCAAGUCUGACCUCCAGGUAGCAGCUAAAGCCCUGGAAACAGCAGUGUUUGGAGCCUACUACAACGUUGUGAUCAACCUCAAGGAUAUCACAGAUGAGUCCUUCAAAGUGACUACUCAACAGAGAGCAUCAGCUCUGCUUACUGAGGCCAGGGAGAGUGCUAAUGCAGUCCUGGAUACUGCAGAGAGAAAAAAGUGAAGAAGUUACCACAUUACCAAAGCUUCCCCCGCUGCCUGCCUAGGCCUCAAACCAGGCUUUCACAACCAUCAAUCUAUUGCAAAUAAACUUGCUGCACAUAAAUACAUACUUUAUCAACUACUCCUCAAUGGUGCUCCUUUGCUGUGUUAGGAAUUCACUAAAUAUUUACGUAAUGUACUGUAUAGCAGCAGCCUACACCAAGCCAGGAUGUCACAGUGUUCUUAUCCACAGCGACUUACAGGCGCAAUUAGGGUUAAUUGCCUUGCUCAAGGGCACAUCGGCAGAUUGUUCACCUACUUAGCUCGGGGAUUCAAACCAGAAACCUUUCGGUUACUGGCCCUACCUCUUAACCUCUAGGCUACCUGCCGCCGUGAAUCACACGAAAUAGAAUAGUACUACAAGGUUUUUUUCUUCUCUCUUCCACUUCGACAUGAAGCUAUAAUGAUAGAGUAGUAUUAUUUGCUUCUGAAUGACAAAGUGAUGCGUUUCGGGAUAUGAACUCUGUCCAUACCUCAGCUCCACCUGUGUAGUACAACAGGCAGGAUGACAUAACGGGAAUUAAAGGGUGUAGUUUAUCCAGUUCCUAGAAAUAAGAGAACAUCCUUCACACAAGACAAAGGAUAGAAUUGAGAGCUGCUUACCAACCAGUUACAGGCGUGUACACUCUUCAUUUAAUCGCCGUUCUAUGUUAGCUAAAAUACAUGCAUUAUUUAUUUUUGAUUUCUGGCAUAUAUUCAGUAUUUGAAUAUCUCAAAUGAGUAUUCUUUAUUCUUUUGAUUACAUGUAAUGUCUUGGAAUAACUUUAGAUUUUGAACAAGGAACUUUUGGGCAGGUUAAUCUGUUUUAUAAGCCUUAUAUUAAUAUGAUCAAACAGUGAUUAUAACACGGAAUCCUUUGUUGCAAUUUUCUUACCAAAGUAACAUAUUUCAUCGCCAGGACUUGAAAAUGUUUGGCAGCAGCUCAGGUGGUCGUCACCCCCCCAGGGUAUGAAGUAGAUCAGCAGAAACAUCCCCAGGGGGACCAGGGGCCUGCCCUCCUGGGGAUAAAGACCACCCCUCCGGGGGAGACGAGACCAUGGUCCUCCAGAGGGUUGCUACCCCCCUCCCCCUCCCCCUCCCCCAGACCACAGAGGCAGUGGUGACCAUGGAGGCAGACACAGCCCUGGUGGUAGAGACAUGGUAGUGGUCAUGGUCAUGGAGAAGGCCAUGGGUUUGGAGAAGUUCAUGGGCAUCGCCACCAGAGGCACUGAAGAGUAAGAGUAAUACAAUUCACUCUCAAAGUGAAAUUCAGCCAUGAUUUUCUGAAUUACCUUGACCCAAUAACAAUCUACAUCAUUCAUGUAUUUGACAUUGUAAUGUGUAUAAACCCAUUGAAUAAACUUGCUUUCAAUUGUA
RNA transcript from Oncorhynchus masou masou (cherry salmon), 3187 nucleotides. It is a transcript of the gene named formimidoyltransferase-cyclodeaminase-like, with no coding region annotated. NCBI's taxonomy places the organism in Eukaryota, Metazoa, Chordata, Actinopteri, Salmoniformes, Salmonidae. The record is from RefSeq and is a predicted model, not a curated record. The transcript is spliced from 14 exons.